CUCUUUUCUCCCCCUGCGCACCCUAUUGUCUGCCGUGCACGGCGUGCCGGACGGCUGCGCAUCCUUUUCGCCUUUUUUUCAUGCCGCUCAAACCAGAAAAAAAGGGGGAUGCGGCUAAUGCCAGGUGACGGUUAGCCGCGCGGCUGAAAAGGCCUGAUCCACGUCAGCAUAGUAGGGACGUCGAUAGUGGAAUGCGCGCGUCCUAGCCGGUCGGCUUGCCGUUGCCUGCCGUUAGAUGCCGUUUUCGGUAGCGCGCCCGCGCACACAAAACCAACCACAGCCGCCAUGUCCAUACAAUGAAUCCUUCUCUAGGCCAACGGACGCAGCGCCAGCGACCAAAGCAAACCGAGCCAGGCCGCGGCAGCAAAGGCGCACAGGACACAAAUGCAUGCUGGGCGCUGAACGAAUCACUUUUUUUGUGUGGGUUUUUAUGUAUUGCAAGC
Molecule: long non-coding RNA, 443 nt
Filed under: Pandoravirus salinus
Description: putative ncRNA
Source: RNAcentral